GAUGAACGCUGGCGGCGUGCUUAACACAUGCAAGUCGAACGAAGCACCUCUCCCGAAGAUUGACCCAGCUUGCUGUAGAUUGAUUCAUUUGAGGUGACUGAGUGGCGGACGGGUGAGUAACGCGUGGGUAACCUGCCUCAUAGAGGGGGACAACAGUUGGAAACGACUGCUAAUACCGCAUAGUAAGAAGAAUUCGCAUGUUUUCUUCUUGAAAGAUUUAUCGCUAUGAGAUGGACCCGCGUCUGAUUAGCUAGUUGGUAAGGUAACGGCUUACCAAGGCGACGAUCAGUAGCCGGCUGGAGAGAGUGAACGGCCACAUUGGGACUGAGACACGGCCCAAACUCCUACGGGAGGCAGCAGUGGGGAAUAUUGCACAAUGGGGGAAACCCUGAUGCAGCGACGCCGCGUGAGUGAAGAAGUAUUUCGGUAUGUAAAGCUCUAUCAGCAGGGAAGAUAAUGACGGUACCUGACUAAGAAGCCCCGGCUAACUACGUG
RNAcentral lists this ribosomal RNA (495 nucleotides) under uncultured bacterium. RNAcentral's name for it is "partial 16S ribosomal RNA". It matches the Rfam family "Bacterial small subunit ribosomal RNA", at positions 28 to 507 of the family's 1533-position model. The record is from RNAcentral.